This 303-nucleotide ribosomal RNA is filed under the name uncultured bacterium. Its description in RNAcentral is "partial 16S ribosomal RNA". It matches the Rfam family "Bacterial small subunit ribosomal RNA", at positions 507 to 809 of the family's 1533-position model. The record is from RNAcentral.
AGCAGUAGCCGCGGGAAUACAGAGGGUGCGAGCGUUAAUCGGAUUUACUGGGCGUAAAGCGUGUGUAGGUUGUUGUUCAAGUCAGUUGUGAAAUCCCUGGGCUCAACCUGGGAACUGCUUCUGAGACUGAACGACUAGAGUACGGUAGAGGGUGGUGGAAUUUCCGGUGUAGCGGUGAAAUGCGUAGAUAUCGGAAGGAACAUCAAUGGCGAAGGCAGCCACCUGGGCCUGUACUGACACUGAGACACGAAAGCGUGGGGAUCAAACAGGAUUAGAUACCCCUGUAGUCCCUGUCUCUUAUAA